GGGGCUGCCCGGUUUUGACAGCAUAGGUCUUUGAAAGUGUAAGCAUGUCGUGCGUUGGAUAAUUAGCACGUAAAUCUGAAUACCCAAACUUCAAAUGGCGAAUCUAACUACGCCAUGGCUGCCUAAUCAGUGAUUAGACACCCAUUAUAGCCGCCGCACGUAGGCCGUUUACUCCUGCAGCCGCCGCCGAAUCAAAACUAUGUAAAAUAGGUACUCAUGGUUUCUGUGAGUGAGUGCUGAAACAACAACGGAUAAGGACAAGGUUGGUUAGUUACGCCCCUGCCGUGUCUCGAAAAAACAAUGCAUAAAUAAGCAUGUAGAAGCCUUUCGGAGGAUGUGUUUGGACGCGGGUUCGAUUCCCGCCAGCUCCACAA
Non-coding RNA from Chitinophaga sancti, 374 nucleotides. NCBI's taxonomy places the organism in Bacteria, Pseudomonadati, Bacteroidota, Chitinophagia, Chitinophagales, Chitinophagaceae. The record is from Rfam.